Molecule: long non-coding RNA, 1677 nt
Filed under: Anas platyrhynchos platyrhynchos (common mallard)
Lineage: Eukaryota; Metazoa; Chordata; Aves; Anseriformes; Anatidae
Description: lncRNA (ENSAPLG00000030925.1)
Source: RNAcentral
AACAACUACUGCUUUACUAGUUUCAGACUAAGUUCUCUGAGGAUUUGUCAAUCUAAUUGCCAGAAGCAAUUGUCUGUCUAGCCCAUAAAGAUAAAUCUGUGCCCUCUGUUACAAAAUUAUCAUUAGGAACCUUUGGAUCCAGCAAUACCCUAAUGUUGACUUGCAGAGCAGAGCCUCAGGGCUGGCAUUUGUGUCUUCAUGGGUAAUCCUUUAACCACUGGGAACAGUGACCAGAAAUCAAUUAUUGACUGCAGGUUUAAAUAUAUGCUGCCAAAUUCCUUUAUUGAAUAAGGAAUCCAUAAGACUAUAUAAGCUGUAGUUUCCUUUUUGGCUAAACAAAAGUAAUACCACUAAUCCACAAACUCUGCAUCAUGUAAACUUGAUAAUAGUAAGAUGCUGUUUAUUUGAACUGAACUGAAUGCUUUGCCCUUAGGAACGGAACUCUGUAACAGAAAUAUCUACCUUUAGAAAGUUGUGCUAGAUUUUUUGUUGUUUGAAAAACGUUCUUUCAGACAGUACAUCAAAAUAAGGAUUUCUCUUUCAUUUCUUUCUGAAAAGAAAUUCUGCCAGGUGUCAGCAGUGGUGGAAACUAUGAAUCCGGUAUAUGCAUAAAAUGAGCAAUAUCAGCCCUGGCACUGAGUACUGGCAAAGAUGCUCAGAUGUGUUUUGAAAGGGCCACCUCCAGGAGCAAAGACAAGUUCAAAAACACAGCUCAUAUAAUAUUUUCCAGAGUUUGCUGUGAGUGUUGACAAUUUUUCAUACUUGCAGGACUCGUUCCAUCAAGCCAUAAAAGGAAAUAUCACCAACACAAAUGCCAGAAUAGUCGGUGUGUUUGGAUCCAGAUCUCCUCGGCCUAGCUUCCUAAGAAUCCAAGCUCAUGGACCUGCCUCAACAUAAUUCUCCAGAGAAAUUCGGUGAAAAUCCUAUAAACCAUCACACAGGAAAAAGGCCAUGUUCAUCAAGGAUCAAUUCAAUCAGUUUGAUACAACUGAGCACUAUGAAUUGCAUGCUGUAUUACAUCCCUUUAUACCUCCUCUCCUUACACUAUUUUUGCUAAACUUAUCCUGGUAUUAAAGGUGAUGAUCCAGUGAAGAUCCAUCAGUCAGUAAUCCACACUCUGCUGUUUUGUUGUUCUGCUGUUUUGUUGUUUCUCCUUUUUUUUUUUUUUUUUUUUUUUUUUUUAAUGGAAGUCCUACUUUUGUAUUUCCUCUGCUAUGAGGCAUCCCACGUUUGAUACUGUGCCAGUUCCAUGGGUAUUUUUAGAUGGAGAUUCCUUGUGUGAACACAUAAAUUUCAGUCCUGGAUAAACCUUCAAUGUGGUGUAAUUUUGAUUUCUAUAGUCUCAGUUCUUUAACCAACCACAUUUUUUUCCCCUUAUGCUACUUUAUCAUCUGCACUGAAAAUGUAGGCUUUUCAUUUCAUACUAGGGCAUAAAUUCAUUAAAAUGUAUAUCAUCUGUAUUGUAUGACCCCCCCGGUUCCUGGUUCCUCUCCCCCCCCCCCCCCCCCCCCCCUCCCCCCCUUAUUUUGCUAAUGAUCCUUUCAGGAUGUGUGUUUUGAAUUUGAAAAUUCUACCUGAGCUUGUAUAUUAAUUAGUUUUCUUGAGGUCUUUGUCUGCUGGAAUGUGAAUACCCUCUUUUUCCAGUCUGUCUCUAUCUACCUAGAAUCUAAUUUAAAC